CAAAAACAUAGCCUUAGGAAUAUAUCUAAGGUGAAACCUGCCCAGUGUAUAGUAGAAUAAAUGGCCGCGGUACUUUGACCGUGCUAAGGUAGCGCAAUCAAUUGGCUCUUAAUUAGGGUCAGGAAUGAAUGGGAUCACGUAGUUCAGCUGUCUCCUCUUUAAUUAUUUGAAGUUACUAUGUAGAUGAAAAAGUCUACUUUUAGAAAAAGGACGAGAAGACCCUUAGAGUUUUACUUAAUAUAAUGAUGAAUGUGUUAAUUAUGAUGGUUUUGUUGGGGCAACAUAGGAGCAAAAUUUAAUCUCUUAAAUUAUAUAAACCGAUUAUUUUAAAUUUAGAUAAACUACCUUAGGGAUAACAGCAUUAUGUAAUAAAUAAGUUUGUGACCUCGAUGUUGGACUGGGAAACUUAAGAGCUAGCCGUUCUUGAGGAAAGUUCUGUUCGAACUAUUAUUCCCACGUGAUC
RNAcentral lists this ribosomal RNA (463 nucleotides) under Felimare kempfi. Its description in RNAcentral is "partial 16S ribosomal RNA". It matches the Rfam family "Bacterial large subunit ribosomal RNA", at positions 1808 to 2605 of the family's 2925-position model. The record is from RNAcentral. Lineage: Eukaryota; Metazoa; Mollusca; Gastropoda; Nudibranchia; Chromodorididae.